GGGAACAUACCCUUUCCUGCGGAAUAGCUCCGGGAAACUGGAAUUAAUACCGCAUACGCCCUACGGGGGAAAGAUUUAUCGGGGUUUGAUGAGCCCGCGUUGGAUUAGCUAGUUGGUGGGGUAAAGGCCUACCAAGGCGACGAUCCAUAGCUGGUCUGGGAGGAUGAUCAGCCACAUUGGGACUGAGACACGGCCCAAACUCCUACGGGAGGCAGCAGUGGGGAAUAUUGGACAAUGGGCGCAAGCCUGAUCCAGCCAUGCCGCGUGAGUGAUGAAGGCCCUAGGGUUGUAAAGCUCUUUCAACGGUGAAGAUAAUGACGGUAACCGUAGAAGAAGCCCCGGCUAACUUCGUGCCAGCAGCCGCGGUAAUACGAAGGGGGCUAGCGUUGUUCGGAAUUACUGGGCGUAAAGCGCACGUAGGCGGAUAUUUAAGUCAGGGGUGAAAUCCCGGGGCUCAACCUCGGAACUGCCUUUGAUACUGGGUAUCUUGAGUAUGGAAGAGGUAAGUGGAAUUGCGAGU
This 520-nucleotide ribosomal RNA is filed under the name uncultured bacterium. Its description in RNAcentral is "bacterial SSU rRNA". It matches the Rfam family "Bacterial small subunit ribosomal RNA", at positions 120 to 674 of the family's 1533-position model. The record is from RNAcentral.